Molecule: ribosomal RNA, 793 nt
Filed under: uncultured archaeon
Lineage: Archaea
Description: bacterial SSU rRNA
Rfam family: Archaeal small subunit ribosomal RNA
Source: RNAcentral
ACGGCUCAGUAACACGUAGUCAACCUAACCUAUGGACGGGAAUAACCUCGGGAAACUGAGAAUAAUGCCCGAUAGAACACUAUACCUGGAAUGGUUUGUGUUCCAAAUGAUUUAUCGCCAUAGGAUGGGACUGCGGCCUAUCAGUUUGUUGGUGAGGUAAUGGCCCACCAAGACUAUUACAGGCACGGGCUCUGAGAGGAGUAGCCCGGAGAUGGGUACUGAGACACGGACCCAGGCCCUAUGGGGCGCAGCAGGCGAGAAAACUUUGCAAUGUGCGAAAGCACGACAAGGUUAAUCCGAGUGAUUUGUGCUAAACGAAUCUUUUGUUAGUCCUAGAAACACUAACGAAUAAGGGGUGGGCAAGUUCUGGUGUCAGCCGCCGCGGUAAAACCAGCACCUCAAGUGGUCAGGAUGAUUAUUGGGCCUAAAGCAUCCGUAGCCGGCUCUGUAAGUUUUCGGUUAAAUCUGUACGCUUAACGUACAGGCUGCCGGGAAUACUGCAAAGCUAGGGAGUGGGAGAGGUAGACGGUACUCGGUAGGAAGUGGUAAAAUGCUUUGAUCUAUCGAUGACCACCUGUGGCGAAGGCGGUCUACCAGAACACGUCCGACAGUGAGGGAUGAAAGCUGGGGGAGCAAACCGGAUUAGAUACCCGGGUAGUCCCAGCUGUAAACUAUGCAAACUCAGUGAUGCAUUGGCUUGUGGCCAAUGCAGUGCUGCAGGGAAGCCGUUAAGUUUGCCGCCUGGGAAGUACGUACGCAAGUAUGAAACUUAAAGGAAUUGGCGGGGGAGCAC